Coturnix japonica (Japanese quail) is the source of this 5265-nucleotide non-coding RNA. The record is from RefSeq and is a predicted model, not a curated record. NCBI's taxonomy places the organism in Eukaryota, Metazoa, Chordata, Aves, Galliformes, Phasianidae.
UCUGCCCUCAGGAGCCCCAGCAGUCCAUAGGGCUGCCAGCACAACAGGUUCUUUCUAAUGCAGAGGAGGAAGGGUUAAAGAAGAAGCAAUCACUGUGGCAGUCCCACACCUGGUGGGCCUGCAGAAGGGUAUGAAAGGCAACAGGGGAAGGGCAGCAAGUGCUUUGGCCUCUUGUAAAGGGGGGGAAGCUGCUGCAGCUCACCAGCCAAGAGCAGCAUUUCUACAGGCAGCAGCUCUGAGGGGAAGGCAGCUGCUUCGUGUGAUGAGGGCACGGCUCAGACUGAAGUAAGUGCGCAAUGUAAGACACGAAUUCUGGUGCACUCAACUUGUUUGACAGAAGCAGCAACCUUUCAGGCAGAGCAGCUCUUCCAGCUCCUCGGGUUAUUCCCUGUGGUGCCCUUCAAAGCUGUUUCCUGAGCGUGGUUAACCUUCCUCUGCCCCUUACAUCCUCCCUUUUGAGGUAUUGCUUUAGUUUUUCCAGCAAUGAGAAAAUGAAACGUAAGGAAAUCUUUGCUGACUGCACUACUUUGAAAUGAGCUGUACCAGCAGCUUCUAAAAUUUGCUAUACCUGGAACUGGCAGGUUAUCAGUGCCUCCUAACCAAAGUGCAAGUAGCAAUGCAGCCCUGAAGGGUUUGGUGCUGCCAACAUGGCUUGUUCAUAGGAAGGAAGAGAGGCAAAGAGCUCCAGGACAGCGUCACCUCGACAUUAUCACUGAAUACCAAGAAGCACAUGGUGAGUGUUCUGGGUUUCCCUUCUUUGUUUUGCAAGAGGACACCUGAACAGAAGGCCACCAAGAUCCCCAUGCACCCACAUCUUUCACUGUAUUUCCACUUGGAGUUUCCAAACCAAGCAUCAACCCACGCUAUUAUUUUACCCAGUCUCAUUUCUUACCCUUGAUGGUAAGACUAAGAGAGUAACAAAGAGUCAUUAGUCAGCCUGGACCACAGGAACUGGACCGUCAAGUAAUGAAUGGUUCCUGGUAAAACUGCCAUUUUCCAUUGCAUCACUUCUCAUGCUAGGCUUGAGGAGCUUCAACCAGCUUGUUAGAGGGAGGCCUUCUGCAUUAAUGAAGAUGAGGACACAACAUUGAUAACACAGCAGCGAGAGGGUUUCCUAUUUUGCUGACAUGUUUGGAACAGUAUCAAUCUCUACAGCAGCUUUGUUUCUAAAACCAAAUCUGAGCACUUCCUACUAAGCAGAAGUACUCCAUCCAUCCUAAGGAGCAAACCAAUGCUGGCCAGGCCAAGUAGCUGCUGUCUAAUAACUCAGUGGCACAGAAGCAGGCCUAUGAACUUUCUACCCUAGUAACAGACUUGAGGCCUCACCUCGAUGGACCACCUAGACUUUCUGCUGACAUGUGUGCAACCAUAAAAACCAUCGUCUGAAAAGGCUUUGGACAGCUCACAUAUGGCCUUGGUAAAAUACAGGCAGCCCAACUCCAUGUUAUUCCUAGGUGUUCCUCUCCUGCAAGCAAGCAGCCUCUUAAUAAUGUGGUUUGUUUGAGCUGAGCACAGAUCCAUAAUUAGUCUCUGGGCCUCCCACAGUGGUGUGAGGUUUAAGUACCGUAAACAACCCAUUGAAUAAUGCCAAGAAAUACAGCUCCAAGCCAGGCAAUUGGGAUGGGCAAGGAAUAGGUUUCUAUUUAUGGUCUCAAGCUGGGAGAGACAGAAUGUGGGAGGAGGCAUGAGAGUCAGUGACAACAUUGCAUCAUGAGGAGUCUGCAUCAUAAAAGCAUGUUGCAAGCCAAGCUGGUGUGCUGCCUUCCCUCAGGUAUCAAUGCAUCUGACACAGGAAAAGGUUAACAACUGAUCUCUGGUACUGGAGAGUCCAAAAGCUCUCCAUAUAGCUCACCUUUUAAGAAGAGAUUGAUUCUAAACCUGGCGAAGAGCUGCAUGAGAUGCUCCUCCACAUUCAUUUCAUGGUGAAAGCAGUGGGUGGUGGCACAGAAGACAUGUUUUUGAGCUGGUUUGAGAUGGAAAGCCAAGUGAAGGCAAUACCUGGUCAGACUGACUGACAGACAGACAGAUCGACCUCGGUGGUGUCCGUCAGCACAUCUCCUUGCUGUCAGUGACUCUCCCAGCACACCACUGCCCUCAGCAUCACCCACUGCAGAACUUCCCUACUUGCAGCUUCUUCCUGGUAAAGAAACAUCAUUCUGAUACAGAAUUCAGAAUGGAAUAAAUCAAGCUUAAGCAACACUGGUAUCCGGAAAGAAGCAGAGAGACCACCAGCUUUAGGUGCUCUAUAUUACAUACCUCCUUCCAUUGAGUACAGAGGUGAUGAUGAUGGUCUGAUUUUUGUUCCUCUGAAUUCUGCCUACAGUAGACUACAACUUGCUCCCACAAGGGAGAUUUAGGAAAAGGAGUGCUAUGAAGGGACACCAGCAGAGAUAACUGGGAAACCACACACAUGUAGAUCAAAAGACUGUUUAACAUUCUUCCUCAAAUCGUGGUGAGUUCCAGUAAAGCUCUCCAGUAUAAAGAGUAAGGAUUAGGUCACCCAGCCCUACAGGAAAGGUGGGCUGGCCAAACGUUAUGACAGCUUACAGCAAGUCAUCUAGGUUUAUUCAAGCAGCACUCUGGGGGAGAAACAGCUUAAUGUGAAUAACACUUCCAUGGAAUUCCUGAGGAGUCAUUAUUCUGGCCAGAUCAAAGCUGAGAUACUAUCUACUUCUACGCAGAUCAAAUGGAUUGCUAUUUACUCACCCAGUGUGAAGACAAGCAUUUGAAGUAAGAGUCCUUCUACAAAAAGACUACUUGAAAACCCCUAAGCAAGCCAGAAAUACCUACACUGAUGUAGCCUGGCUGCUGGGAGGGUCAUUUUGCAGAUGUAAAGCAGCAACUGAUCAGCCCUUGGAGUCAACACGACAUACAUGUCCAGGCUACUUUCCAAGUGACAUAAUGACUUCCAAUAAGAAGCACUGCAGUGUUAGGAUCUCUCCUUACGCUCAGCACCUGGAACAAUGAUCGCAUUGAUCUACUCCUCAGCCAGCUUUCUGAGGUUUAUUUUUAGCCUUUCCAGUUACAGGGUAAGCUUAGAAGGAGAGAGUAGAGUCUAACUUACCAACCUGCAAUCUCAGGAGUCAAAACGUCAAUCUGCUACAUCAGUCUGAGCUGAUGUCAGGAGCUGAGCCCAAGUGGCUGUACUGGUGAGCACCUUGUGCAGCUGGCACUGCUUACCUGCUGAGAGAUGUUCGGAGGGUGCAGCUCCCCAGGUGAGCUGAUAGAGCUUCAGUUUCCAGUACAUGAGUUUAAGUCUUUAAUACGAUCCCAGAAUGCUUGUUAGCGCAGAUGAGACUGCUCAGUUCUAUCCACCCACUGUGAAUAUGCAGCAACUGCCAAAGCUACACAGUGCUUCUGGUUUAAACAAAGUUCUCGAGCUAAAAAUAAAUCAUGGGGCUGUCAGCCUCAAUUGUCAGCCACCGAGAUGCUGCUCAAGCAAUUGUCCGCAGCCAUUUUCUUCCCAUGGAUGAAGAAGAGUUUGUAAAAUAGUUACUAUAUAUUUAACUCAAUACUUAUCAUCUCACUUCCACGGAAUACAUGGGCCUCAGAAAAUGAGUCAGUGCUUCCUUUUAUCCAAGAGAUGCCUGUCCUAUGUGUGCUCAAAAUGGCACACUGUCCUGACUGCAGCCCUUCACAUGGAGCUGAGCCCAAGCUCUCCUGCUCCUUCUCAGCCCCAACCCACUGCUGUGCGGGGCAGUGUGAAUAAGCACGGGUGGUGAAGUCAGAGAAACACGUCCAUCAACCUAAACUUAGCAACUGGCUGCUAUUCCACUUCCCCUUGGCUAAACCCAGCCACUUGUAAUUGGCUCUGCUGAGCAGACAAGGGGCUCCAUUCAGCAGGGCCGCUCCCAACAGCUGCCAAAUAACUGGGGUAACACAAACCCACACGAUUCCUACUGAGGGCAGACAGCUUGUCAGUCCCAGGCUGUGCUAUACAUUUGUUUUUAAGAUGGACUAACAGUGGUGUUUAGCCCUCGUGUAUCCAGACCUAGUAUUAAAAACAAGAAUGCACUCACUGAAAUUACGCUUCCUGAAGAGUCGUUCUGGAAUCAGGAAGAAUUAAUGCAGCUUCGAAGGGAAAGAGUCCUUCAAAGACAGGAAGGCUGAACAAGUCCUGUACUCUUAAUCUAAAAGCAAUCAAAGCUGCAAGAAGUCACAGUUAGAAUUGCAGGCAUAUUGGAGCUAAAGGAACAACAAAGUCUCCUUACUCAGCUCACCGGUAGCUGCAUUCCUCACACUUGUUCAUACAGCAAAAACGUGAAUGCAUUCCAGCAAGACAUAUAACUGGUGCUUAAGUAUGCUGUAUGGUUGGCUUUGGUUACCAAAUACUGCUAUCUUGUGGUGAGAAGACAUUGUAAGGGAAAAUGCUGAACUGAAAGAGCAGUGCAAGAGUGCACAGUUGGAUCUAGGAAGAAUAGUGCAGAUAAUGGGCGACCUGAAUAUGCCUCCUCUGGCCUCUGGGUGACACCUCUCCCAACGCUUCAUUUACUCUGUGAACUAUAUAUAUUCUGAGGGAGGAAGGAAGAAGGAAAGGGCCGGGAUUUCCCAGUGGGAGGCCAGCACUGCUGCUGCCUCAGCAUCCCGUUUCCUCUCGCUCUGCAGAGCAGUGGUUACCCCUACCCAGCACCCACCCAUGACCUGAGGCAGAAAAUAAGAGCUCAGCUUACUGACCUUCAGCUGUGCUCUGUUUCACAGCAAGGUCUCUGCCAGUCGUGCCCCACAGCUCUGAGGAUACAUGUAACUGCUGCUUCAUUUGGGAGUUGUUUUAGGAGAUGUAAAUCAAGACCAAGGUGUAGCCGUGCCAUCCAGAAGGGAGCCUCACCCAGUGCCCCCACACCUCCUGCUGCCACAGCCCAAGAAAGAUUCCUUUAGCAUCUUACAUUGAGAUUAUCUUCUAAUUUGACAGAGUUCCGCCUCAUUCCUUCUUCCUCCCACUCCACAGAAAAGCAUUCCCAGUUGUUGCUGGCCCGUGCAGGUUUUCAGGACAGCUGACUGCUUGGGUUACACAGGGCUGCAUUGUAUCCCUCCAAGAAGCAGCCACACUAAGUGCUUCCUCUGGGAUCAGGGCUCGGACCGGGCUGACAGCAGCACACCAGGUGCUGUCUUAAAAGCUGAAAUUCCAAAGCAACAGGCAGUGCUGCAACUGCUCCUCUCAAAAUCACUCUCCCUCUUGAGCCUCUUUGAAGCAAACCUAUUCCACAUCUAGCAUCUGAGUGACUAAAGCACCCACAAGGAACACAGCACGCAAAUGCAGCAAUGAAA